ACGAGACUCUCUUCUAGUUAAAUCCUAUGAAGGAACAACUUAUUAACACGAGAAUGUCACUGUGGUUCAAGCAAUGCAAUAAAAUUAGCGACUGCUUUCUUCCCAAGUGUGGAAUACAACAUAUGAAAUGUGUGUGUGGGGGGUAUUAAGUAUGACCUAUCUGCACCAUCAGGCUUGUGGGCCACGGAGAGGAGGACCAAUCUAUUUCUGGACAUUUGAUCGUCAGAGAAGACAGCAGCUGUUCUCUUUAGAUACCUGCUCUACAACAAACCAAGUGGAAUCAUACAGCUAUCCAUACACGUACAAAAAACACGCCCCAGUCUCUUGACCCGAGAGAACCAGUAGAUUCGCUUUUCUUCUUAUGUGGAACCAACAAGGUCUGAACAUUUCCUCCCGGAGUGUUCUUUCAGUUAUUACUCAUUCACCAUCCCUACACUUGUAAGGGAAAAGCAGUUAGCCUGCUGGAGAAGAGGAAAGAUGGCUGGCAGGCCAAAGGCAAUCACACAGACCAGAGAGAAGAGAAUUAAGGGAGGAUGACAGAAGUGGGGAAAGGAAGAGAAAAAUGGUAUUUCCAGCACAUUAAGCACUUAGAGUAAAACUAGACAAAAGAGGCUGGGUGACUGACUGUUGAGUCACCGCAAGCCAAUGAUGACAUUUGGAGCGGAGGAGAAUUGAUCCGGUCCGAGGGGUUUCCCUCGAAAUUUACUGAAGACAAGAAGCCACUCAAGAAAACAAAACAUGUACACCAAGGGGGUCUGAAGGACACAAGUUGAAUUUUCACCCAAAUGAAAAGCUAAUCAACUUUAGUUCAUUGAGAAGUGCAUGCAGUAGGCGGGCACACCAGUUGCCCAUCCCAGAUGUAGAACAUAAACUAUUCUAGAAAUAUGGAAAGAUCUUGGACAAAUCAAGUUGGAAAAGGGACCACAUAUCCAACCAGACAGAAGGGGAGAUGGGUGCAUCAUCAGUAUCGGGCUUCACAAGUUAUCACCCAACAAACAUGGAGACACUCACCCACGCACAUGUGUGAUGUAAUCACAACUUUCAUGCAUACGCACAAAGAAGAAUCGGGGUCAUGGAUGCGAGCGUGCAGGGAAGAGGCUGGCAGCUUAGCAUCACUCGCUGCAGUGCUGAUAAAUGGGCACACUCCAGACUGCUUUCAUUGAUAAUGGAAAAGAGUAACUUAUGAGGAUUCUGGCCAGGUGUGUGAUGAACAAAAGAAAAAUAACAGAAGCAAGCAGACAAAAAACAGCCCUUGUGCCGUUCAAUCAUUUCCCAAUGUAUUCAUUAUGGUGUCAUCGGAAUACAUCCUUAUCAAAUCAUAAAGUUGGAAAGGACAAUUUACCCAAAAGUAACAAAACAAACUCCUCCGACUGAAUUCCGUGCAGUACCGUGUUGAUUUUAAAUGGGGCUCCUCGGGGCUUUUAAGGAAGGAUCAGCUCAAUAUGAAAAAGGGAAGGACAGCAACUAUUUAGAAAAGACCUGGGAGGCAUCUAAAAACAUUGCAAGGAAUUUGCAGUGUGUUUAAUUUCAUACAAAAGGCACCAACACACCCCUCCGGCCACCCGAAUGAAGCUGAAGAUCAUCAGAAUGCAAAAGUGUAGAUUUGAGGGGAAGGCACACAAAAGGAAACAAGUGAAGACAUAAUAGAAUGAGUUAUACAGAUGGGUUAUAAAUUGUGGCUUCAUACAGGUCUGCUGCAAAUGUUUUUACAAAGCACCCAUCCUCAACAUCACCUGCCGACUGCCACCGCCACAGUUCAUCGCCAAGGUCGUUUGAAUAUAUCCACAGUGCAUGAAAUCAGCUCUCAACAUUCUCUGGAUCUACAUCGGUCUAAUUCGACAUAUGAAAGACUUGUGUUGACUCAAAAUAUUCUGCAUUUAUGUUGUUGAUAUGUUAACCAUCUACUCCCGAGGGUUUGUGGAGUAAGCAUAUGUACGUAAGUAUGACACGAUGAAUCUGUGUUCUAACUUAAGUUGACCACAUAAAUCUCAUUUUAUUGCUUUUUCUCUGCUGAGCUGACAUAUUAUGUUGGAUGGCUCCCUUCGGAAUAAGAUUCAAUUCAGAAGACAUAUCUACUCACGUUCACAUUCACUGAAUGUACCAUCGCACCCACCGUGGCAACCAGCCCGGCCGGCAUUACAAAAUGUUUACCAACCUUUGAAUUGAGAUUAUAGAUAAUAAUCAAACAAUUAUGACAGAUCUAAGUGGUUGUAGACGGCAGAUGUGCAAUAAGCUGGCCAUAAUCAAUUAACUUUGGCAUAUCUACUGUAGACAUGUUUAUUGAAAGAGAUACGGCAAGAAGAUGUUGCGAAAGGGGAUAAUGAAUUGGGCGACCUCUAUUUCACUAUAGUGGUGUUCCUAUAGUAGUUACCUUGGCAACAACAGCACAGCAGCUUAAAAAGCCCAUAACACAUUUAUGAAUCAUAUUUCAAAAUGAACCUAUGUUUUAGUCAAGCAGAAAGACGCAGUUCGUAGCCUUUCAAUAAAAACAAAAUCCUGGCACGCCACAUUUGAAAUAUGGCCUCAGGCUGACAAUGCAAAAGCAUUGAAAUGAAGCCGGAAUCCUCCCAUGGAAAGUCCAUGCCCCUUUCAUUUAAUCCUUCCAUUGCCUCGGCUUUGUUCAUCAAGUUCAUAUGCAGGUUGGGUUAUCCCAAGGGUUGCCUCCUUAAGACCAAAUCCAGUAAGGGCUCAAGCAGUAACUGCAGAUUUGCUUUAAUGAUAGGUUAUAACACAGAGUGCUGGUAUUCUGCCAACCAGUUGUUUUUUUAGCAAGAUGACGGUUGUUGAUACAUGGUCAACAUUUAAUUUUCCCAUCUAGAAAAAAUUGAAAACAAAACAAAUGGGUGUUGGAUUCUCUCAAAAGACUAAAUGUCCCACGUAAUCCACAAAUAACAGCAGUGUUUCCAUACCCAUAAAUAGAGCCUCUGCACCACCAAUGGAACACAAUGCUAUUUUAAAUUGUUAUGGCAUGUGCUCAGAAACAAAAGAUUCUCACGUGUAACUCAUGAUUCUAGACAGACCAGUUGUGUCCCGUCUGCCUUUUUCUUACCUUACCUAAGUGAGGAACAAGAGUGUAAAAGAAGAAAUAUAUUGUACGCUGAUUAAAUAGCCUUUAUUAGUCAUACAAUUAGGAAAUCUGCAUUGUUUCAGAAGCAGUGGUGGUUGCAAGAAAAAGAUCUAAAAAGAUAUAGCAAGUAAGGAGGACACAAAUGUAGGCCACCCAUUCAUUCUAGACACAACAUCUAUGAACCUGUACACGGUGCAGAGCCAAUAAUGCAACAACCUUUGAAAUGAAUCUGAGAUGUGCUGAAUAGCCAAAGGGAGGGAACGAGCCCAAAUCAUUUUUAUUAUGUGUGAUAGCAAGUUAAAGACAUGA
This is a long non-coding RNA of Syngnathus acus (greater pipefish), 3376 nucleotides long. RefSeq lists it as uncharacterized. NCBI's taxonomy places the organism in Eukaryota, Metazoa, Chordata, Actinopteri, Syngnathiformes, Syngnathidae. The record is from RefSeq and is a predicted model, not a curated record. The transcript is spliced from 2 exons.